GUGUACUUGUUAUGUAUUUGCUCAAGCCCAUCGGUUCAUUUAUUCAUGUAGUAAAACAGACAGCCUGAUCGUAUUUGGGUCAACCAGCAGACCUGGAACCAGUCCCAGCAUGCUGUGAAGACAGGAUUUCAUAAACAAGAGGAUCAUCUUGAAGUCCCUCUUUGUGCUUGAAUUGCACCUCGGAAUAUCUAACAGAGCAGGUCAAGGUUUUCUGUGAAGAAAUGAAUCUGAAUCACUUUGGUGACCAGAUUUUUUCAGCUAUGCAGGCUUGGUCAGUGAAUGACUGCGAUUCCAGCAGGGUCACCCCCACCGAAGACCCCCAACGCCAAACCCCUGAGGAGGGAUCUUGGAAGCUCCUGUUGGUCUUCCUCCCAUCGAAUGCUUCUCUGUGUGGGAGCUCUGAUUACACAGCGGCUCAGAGGUGCAUUUACAAGCCGGAUCCAAUCCAAUGCGUAGUCUUCUCUCUGUAAACCUGAAAACAAUAUUCUAGAUUUACCAAGGGCUCAAGAGUUUUUUACAUUAGCAUCAGCUGUUAUAAGUUUUACAAUUUAGAGAAAUUUCUUGUUGGUUUACAGGACUUAAAUUCAAAGGCAUAUUCGAGUUUUUUAAUAUGAAGUUGCUUCAAAGUUUGUAUUAAUUAAAUAACCAGUAAUCUUUUUGUUUGAAACAAGCUUAAAAUGAGCAUGGAAAUCACUUCUAAUCUAGUAUAGAAGUGGUGAAAAGAAAAGUAUUCAGAGGCUGUCGGCAGGCUGAGGGCUUGGCGGAGGCAGAGCUAGGUUUGAGUGCUUGCAGAUCUCAGAUUUGAGUUUCCUUUCCAGAUUCUUCAGAGAGCGGGCAGGCAGGUCUUUGACAGGUUUGAUUCUCCAGGGUUCUUCAGAGAUCAGACAGACAGAUUUCCAA
Molecule: long non-coding RNA, 900 nt
Organism: Cyprinodon tularosa
Lineage: Eukaryota; Metazoa; Chordata; Actinopteri; Cyprinodontiformes; Cyprinodontidae
Exons: 3
Source: RefSeq, a predicted model, not a curated record